AGAGUUUGAUCAUGGCUCAGGAUGAACGCUAGCUACAGGCUUAACACAUGCAAGUCGAGGGGAAACGACAUCGAAAGCUUGCCUUUGAUGGGCGUCGACCGGCGCACGGGUGAGUAACGCGUAUCCAACCUGCCCACCACUUGGGGAUAACCUUGCGAAAGUAAGACUAAUACCCAAUGACGUCUCUAGAAGACAUCUGAAAGGGAUUAAAGAUUUAUCGGUGAUGGAUGGGGAUGCGUCUGAUUAGCUUGUUGGCGGGGUAACGGCCCACCAAGGCUACGAUCAGUAGGGGUUCUGAGAGGAAGGUCCCCCANAUUGGAACUGAGACACGGUCCAAACUCCUACGAGAGGCA
Molecule: ribosomal RNA, 353 nt
Filed under: uncultured bacterium
Lineage: Bacteria
Description: bacterial SSU rRNA
Rfam family: Bacterial small subunit ribosomal RNA
Source: RNAcentral